GUUUCGACCGUGGCUGUCGCCCGAGGGCGAUCGAGAGUCAGGCUCGCUGGUGGGGGCGUGUGAGGGCGGCCUCUGCUCACUUCCUUUCUCGGGAAUGGUGGGCGCCGUCCCCACCCCUCACUGGCAGUGACGGUGGACAACAAAGGGGCUCGGGGUGGCGGCCAGACAAAGAGGGGGACUUGGAGUGUUGCAGCGCCGAGGGGAGUUGGGAACAAAGGUAGGGGGCUGGGAGCUUCAGGGAGACUCACUACAAGAACCCCCAAGCAGAAAGUGCCGCCUUUGUCUCCUGGUGCUGCCCAAACUUGCGGAAAUCCGGGUGGUCCUACCUCACCCGCCGCCCACCUGGGCCUGAUCGGCCGCUCUGGGACGAUGCCCUCACCGCGCAUCCAGCUGAGAGGGAAACAGGUCGGACCUGGGCAGCGCCGGGGGGAAAGCCUGGGUAGCCAGCGGCCAGCAUUUAAAGGCCCCGCCUCCUCAAAGGAAAGGCUGCUGAGACUCAGAACUAGUCAAAGUACUGAGAACUGAUUGUUGGAUGCCCAUCCCUAAGCACGACUUUUAUAUGAUUCACUUCAAGACCCAGGGAACAUGCCAGAAGAGACGAGCAGAAAGAUCUUAACAGGUUUCCAAAUCCUCGGUUCGUGGGACCCCACGCAAGUAGGAGCUGCGGGACGGCAUCCUACAACUCCCAAACAUGAGAAACCUGGAGAAAUCCCUCUUUCUCA
Mastomys coucha (southern multimammate mouse) is the source of this 722-nucleotide long non-coding RNA. RefSeq lists it as uncharacterized. Lineage: Eukaryota; Metazoa; Chordata; Mammalia; Rodentia; Muridae. The record is from RefSeq and is a predicted model, not a curated record. The transcript is spliced from 3 exons.